GGGGACCGUCCAGCAGGACAUCUGAAAACCUGAAACACACUCGGGCCCUGGUUGUCACAGGAUCCAAGGCCACCAGCUCCUGCAUUCAGACGUGGUGCUGAAGUAUCAGCUUUGCUGUUCACACGUGUACACUGUGAGAGCUAGGGCUCCCAGCCCAACCUACCAUGUCUGGCCCCCAACACACACACACUCACAGUCUAGCAGCAACGGCCCAGAAGACCAGGACCAAGGCAGACUUGCCCCUCCUGCCAUUUGCCAGUGGCCAUGGGUGGGUAGGGGCUGGGGGCGGCCUCCUAAUUCCUCUGUGGCCCUCCAAGCUCCUGAGGAUCAUGGAGUCUAUACCUGCUUCCCCCCACGGCCCUCGCCAGGACUGUCCUGGGUCUCUGCCUGCCUCUCCCUACCUACUCCGGGUGCCUCGGUUUGCUGAGUUAAUUGGCAAACUUCCCCAGAAGUAAACUUGGGGAUGGAAAUUAAUAAUUUUCCUGCCAUUGAACUCACUGCUAAUCAUGCCAGCUGGGAGUCGGGGGCCCGGGUGCACAAGGACCCCUGAAAAGCCAUUAGUCAGGAAUCCCCCAUGCAAUUUAGGGGCUGCACAGCCCCGGUGCCCAGGUGGAGCCGCAGCAGGCGUGAGGGUGCUUUGGAAGGGUUCAUGCCACCCCGCCUCCCUCCCACUCCAGAUCUUUUGCUGGGUGACCUGGGCCUAACGGGGUCUUCUGGGUGCUUCCAAUUGAGGACUGGAAGCCCUCACAAGAGAGGUGCGGGAAGUAGGGGGCCUGACUGGGUGCCCAGAGACCUCCAACUGUGGGGGUGGGGAGGCCAUGAGGGGAGGCCGGAGGGGGUGCCCAGGGGCCGGGGUGAGGGAGCAGGGCCACCUGCCCCUGUUUGGAGCUCUCCUUUUGACGAUGUGAUCGUGGUCUCACUGGUCCACUCGUGGCAGAGGGUGGCUGGUGCUGAAGACCUUGCCCUGGGACUCCCCCAACCUGGAAAGAGGCACAGCCUCCUCCCUCUCAUCUUAGGACUCUGGGCUGGACAGGCCCUGUCCUGUUGGGGUUGUGAGGGGCACGAAUGCUCUGGCCGAGCAGGCCUCCUCUCAGAUCCGCCGUCCCAGGAGGGAGGCGGUCAGGUCCUCAGCAGGACCUCCGUCCGCUGCUCCACAGGUUCCUUGGCCCAGCCUUCAGCACCUUCCAAAAGAUGUGACAGUGCAGGGGUUCUCGGGGUCCCUGGCGGAAACCCUGACGCCAGGCCCUCCCCUGGAGAGAGGCCUGGGAGGCGUGGGGGUGAUGCAGGGAGUCCAGCUACCGAGCACCCAGGACACCGGGAGGCGCUGCCGGGCCGGGAACUGGGGCAGCGGCCUGGGAUUCAUCUGGCCCUGCGUCCAGCCCACCCGUCACCUCUGUGCUGCCGAGAUGUGACCAAGUGCAGCUGGAGGGGCCAGGCUAUGAUUGAGGGGGAGGCAGUGAGAACGGAGCCAGCCCUGCUGGGCCGCAUGGCAUUGCUCCCAGCUGCCGGGCACCACUGGACGGGCCUCUCCGCUCACCUGGCAGGUGCAGAAGCCACCUGCGGCCACCUCAGCCGUCCUCUGUUUACCCCGAGCCGUGCGGACCCCACCUUGGGCUUGGUGGUCUGCUGGGCCACCGCCCUGCCAGCCCCAGGCACCCUGAGAGGACUGCCAGGCUGCUUGGUCUGGAGGCCACAGGGACAGGGGGCAGGAGAGAGACGGGGAGGAAGAGACCUGGCUCCUGCCUGCACCUGUACCUGCUGCAUUUUCAGCAUUAGCACCCUGGGUCCCCCUGCCUGGGGACGAGGAGCGCAGAGAGCUUCGGUAGUUUGCCCAGGGCCACACGGCAGGAUUUGUUUUUUGUUUUUUUUUUUCACAUGGCAGGAUUUGAACCAGGUCUGCCGACCGGGAAGCUGGCCUCUGUCCAAGACCCGACAAUACUGCAGAUUACUUAAAAUCGUCAUCCCAGCAGGGCACCCGAGGGGUCCCUCCUCCCACCUGGGACUGUGUCCAUGGCCCUGAGCCACCCAGCUGACCUGGCUUCCCGGGCUAGGCAGGCUGGACGGCCUGCUUCUGAGGGUGGAGGCUUCCCGCACAGCUCCGGGGCCCCGGGGUGGUCCAGGGGGCCGAGGGCACAGGAGGCUCUGGAGGACAGUGCUAGGAAAGGGGCGACCCUUCCAGGAACAGUCUCACUUCCCCCCUGCCCCGACCUGUCUCUGUCCCGUGGGGUGGCCGGGUGCGUGGGUCAGAUCAGCACAGGACACACUGCCCCGGUGCUGACCCCGUACCCCCCCAAAACACACACCAUGGCUGAGGGCCUCCGCGCACCCAGGGGGCCUGUCCCUGUCACUGCAGGUGAUGGUGUCCUUGCAGGAAGUCCCCACGGGCUUGGGGGAACUUUGCAGAUACGGCUGCCCUGGCAAGGCCCCCCCGGCGAGGGCGUCCCCAGGCACCCUGGGGAGGGGGCACGCAGGAGCGGGGGAGCAGAGGGGUACCGGCUCUCUCCGGGGUUGCAGCCCCUUCUCCCCACCCCUAACCUCUGGUCACACCAAGUCCUGCCCAUCCUGCCCCUGACCUCUUGUCUGUAGCUCCUUCGGGGCCUGAUCCCUUAUGUGUCACAGCCCUGCUCCCGGCCUCCCUGACCCAGUCUUUCUCCCCAGUGGAUGUCAUCCACCUGGACCCACGCAUAGCCAGGAGCGUCCACAGUCCACACACCGUCCCCGGUGCCAGGCCUAGCAGGCCUCCGUCCUCCCUGACCACGUCCAGCCCCGGGAUGGCCGUCCUCACGGCGUUGCAGCACCGGGGACAUUCAGAGGGGCGGCGCUGGCCCUGGGGAGACCCCAGAACCAGGGUGGGCAGCGGGAUGCACUCCCCUUCCCACCGGGGUGGCCCUGACAGGUGCAGGGGCCCAGCUGGGGCCGUGGGCUCUGGGCCCCCCAUCCUGGGACUUGGGAAUCUGCUGUUUGGUGAUGCUUUCAUCGAAAUGGAAUUUGCUCUCUGGUUGUUCAUCGAUUUGGGUUGCUGUGGCCAGAUGGGCGUGGCUUGCAGGCGGGGGGGGGGGGCCACCCCACCCCGCUGCUCCGACCUUGAGUGAGUGGGUGCUGCUGGUGAGGAGGCGGGUGUGCUCCCCGUCCCCACUCUGGACCACAGCUCUCAGGGCUCCCGCCCCCCUGGGCUCCCGGAGGGCCUUCUGUCCAGGCCCCGGACCCCCGGCCCUGCCAGCCCCCUGCAGGUGCCCCCAAGGCUCCCUGUGGGCGGGUCCGUCGGGGGAUCCCCCUGGCAGAUCCAAACCACACGCUGCUCUGAUGGCCUAGUGCCCACUUGGCAGCGGCAAAGCGCGCGGGCUGGGAGCGCCGGAGAUGGCAACAGAGAGGCCCUCCCCAGGCCCCCAGAGCCCCCACACCUAACUGGCGGGGCUCCC
Molecule: long non-coding RNA, 3419 nt
Filed under: Canis lupus familiaris (dog)
Lineage: Eukaryota; Metazoa; Chordata; Mammalia; Carnivora; Canidae
Description: lncRNA (ENSCAFG00000050776.1)
Source: RNAcentral